AGUUUGAUCCUGGCUCAGGACGAACGCUGGCGGCGUGCUUAACACAUGCAAGUCACGGGGGCUCAGCAAUGAGCAACCGGCGAACGGGUGCAUAACACGUGAGGAACUUGCCGAUCUGAGGGGGAUAGCCGGCCCAACGGCCGGGUAAUACCGCAUACGCUCGUUGUGGGGAGUCCCACGAUGAGGAAACCUCCGGGGCAGAUCGAGAGUCUCGCGGCCUAUCAGCUAGUUGGUGCGGUCAUGGCGCACCAAGGCGACGACGGGUAGCUGGUCUGAGAGGAUGGCCAGCCACAUUGGGACUGAGAAACGGCCCAGACUCCUACGGGAGGCAGCAGUGGGGAAUCUUGCGCAAUGGUCGAAAGACUGACGCAGCGACGCCGCGUGUGGGAGGACGCCUUUCGGGGUGUAAACCACUGUUGCCCGGGACGAACAGCCUCUUUCGAGGGGCCUGACGGUACCGGGUGAGGAAGCACCGGCUAACUCCGUGCCAGCAGCCGCGGUAGUCGGGCCCAAUCGCC
Molecule: ribosomal RNA, 518 nt
Filed under: uncultured bacterium
Lineage: Bacteria
Description: bacterial SSU rRNA
Rfam family: Bacterial small subunit ribosomal RNA
Source: RNAcentral